GGAUCGGAGGAUGAUCUGGCUGUGGCAUCUGUCACCCCAUUGAACUCUGGGGUUAGUUUGGCUGAACUGGGUGGCUGGGCAGGUGUCCCCUCCCCCGCUCACCGCUCCAUGUGCAUCCCUCCCCAAGCUGGGAGCUGGGUCGAAGAGGAUGACCACCCCCGACAGAGAAGAACCAUUUCCUCAGUCAAGGGUAUCUGAGCAGCUGCAUUCCCCUGCUACAACCUCUAAACAAGAGGAAGCUUUAAUGAUUAGGAUAGCUGGACUUAUUUUGGGCUGUGUGGGUCUGCUGAAAUGAUUACAAUAUUUUCUGAUUUUGAAUCAUUACUUGUUGGCUUUACAUACUU
Non-coding RNA from Heterocephalus glaber (naked mole-rat), 344 nucleotides. Lineage: Eukaryota; Metazoa; Chordata; Mammalia; Rodentia; Bathyergidae. The record is from Rfam.